AGUAAUAUGACUGAUAUAGGUGAUAAAUUGUAAAUUUAUUUAAAAAUUUGAUUAAGAAUUUUAUUACUA
This 69-nucleotide transfer RNA is filed under the name Hydropsyche fryeri. RNAcentral's name for it is "tRNA-Tyr". Lineage: Eukaryota; Metazoa; Arthropoda; Insecta; Trichoptera; Hydropsychidae. The record is from RNAcentral.